Molecule: ribosomal RNA, 497 nt
Filed under: uncultured bacterium
Lineage: Bacteria
Description: partial 16S ribosomal RNA
Rfam family: Bacterial small subunit ribosomal RNA
Source: RNAcentral
GACGAACGCUGGCGGCGUGCCUAAUACAUGCAAGUUGAGCGCUGAAGGUUGGUACUUGUACCGACUGGAUGAGCAGCGAACGGGUGAGUAACGCGUGGGGAAUCUGCCUUUUAGCGGGGGACAACAUUUGGAAACGAAUGCUAAUACCGCAUAAAAACUUUAAACACAAGUUUUAAGUUUGAAAGAUGCAAUUGCAUCACUCAAAGAUUAUCCCGCGUUGUAUUAUCUUGUUGGUUAGGUAAAGGCUCACCAAGGCGAGGAUAGAUAGCCGACCUGAGAGGGUGAUCGGCCAAAAUGGGAAGGAGAAAAGGCCCAAAAUACUAAGGGAGGCAGCAGUAGGGAAUCUUCGGAAAUGGAAGAAAGUCUGACCGAGCAACGCCGCGUGAGUGAAGAAGGAUUUCGGAUCGUAAAACUCUGUUGGUAGAGAAGAAAGUUGGUGAGAGUGGAAAGCUCAUCAAGUGACGGUAACUACACAGAAAGGGACGGCUAACUACGUG